Molecule: long non-coding RNA, 884 nt
Filed under: Oryctolagus cuniculus (rabbit)
Lineage: Eukaryota; Metazoa; Chordata; Mammalia; Lagomorpha; Leporidae
Description: lncRNA (ENSOCUG00000038922.1)
Source: RNAcentral
GCAAAAAAGAGGAGACCAGAAUCUGAAUGCAGGUCAGUGCCACUUGGGCGCAGCCAGGCCGGAGGUGGGAGGGCCUGGGGGUGGGAGAGAGCCCCAGGCUCCCCUCCAGAGGCAGAAGGCGCGGUGCCUCGGGGCAGGGACCAUUUCCAGCUGCGCCCAUCCCCUCGCCAGCUCACUAGGGCCCCCCUGUGUCCACAGCUGUGGGAGCUCCUCACCCCUGCGCAAGAAGAAGAAGAGUGUGAAGAAGCACCGCCGAGACAGGUCUAACUCUGGGUCCAGGAGGAAGAGGCGGCACAGCCUCCGUUGGGGGAACCCCUAGAACUUCAGACAACUCGGCAGGUUCAGGUUCAAGGGCGUCUGUGGAGGAGUCGGCUGAGGAGGAGGAAGCAUCAGACCCUGAAUUUGCAGGGCCAAGGCAGGAGGACCUUGUGAGCUGGGAGGCUCCGUGGGUAGCACACAGGGUGGGCUCGGGCUAGCGGUGGAGUUUUGGUGGGUGGGAACAGGUGCCAGCCCCCACAGCCCUGACUGCCAGGCCUUGGAGCUGGCCUCCACCCAGGCAGGGCUGGGAGCCAGCAUGGAACUCCAAGCAGGACAGUGACUUGCUCUGGGAGACUGGGGGAGGGAAGAGUCAGGAGCCCAGGUCAAGAAAACAGAGGCUGAGGGGUAAAAAGUUAAACAGAGGAGGUUGUGGGUCGUGACCCUAACCUUGGCAUCAGGGCCAGAGUCCUCCCAGCAGCCCUGAGGAGGGGCAGAGUCAGCAGUAUUUUACCUAUCAUGGGAACCAGCCCUGCCAAUACUCCCCUGUCCCAACCCUACCACCACCACCACAACCUUCUCAGGCCUAUGGGCUCCUGCUGCCCCCUAGUGGCCACCAUCAGCAUGCA